CCUACGGGGGACAGCAGUGGGGAAUAUUGGGCAAUGGAGGCAACUCUGACCCAGCAACGCCGCGUGAAUGAUGAAGGUCUUCGGAUUGUAAAGUUCUGUGAUGGGGGAUGAACACAAUGACUGUACCCCAAUAGCAAGCCACGGCUACCUACGUGCCAGCAGCAGCGUUUAUACGUAGGUGGCAAGCGUUAUCCGGAAUGACUGGGCUGAAAGGGUGCGUAGGUUGUUUAGUACGUUGGCGGUGUAAUUGCGGGGCUCAAACUCGGCUCUACGGGCAAACCUAGUAGACGAGAGUGCAGGAGGGGUAAGUGGAAUUCCUGGUGUAGCGGUGGAAUGCGUAGAUAUUAGGAAGAACAUCAGGGGCGAAGGCGACUUACUGGACUGUAACUGACACUGAGGCACGAAAGCGUGGGGAGCAAACAGGAUUAGAUACCCGGGUAGUC
Molecule: ribosomal RNA, 443 nt
Filed under: uncultured bacterium
Lineage: Bacteria
Description: partial 16S ribosomal RNA
Rfam family: Bacterial small subunit ribosomal RNA
Source: RNAcentral